This 253-nucleotide ribosomal RNA is filed under the name uncultured bacterium. RNAcentral describes it as "partial 16S ribosomal RNA". It matches the Rfam family "Bacterial small subunit ribosomal RNA", at positions 524 to 776 of the family's 1533-position model. The record is from RNAcentral.
UACAGAGGGUGCAAGCGUUAAUCGGAAUUACUGGGCGUAAAGCGUGCGUAGACGGUUAUUUAAGUCGGGUGUGAAAGCCCCGGGCUCAACCUGGGAAUUGCAUUCGAGACUGAAUAGCUAGGGUGCGGAAGAGGGAAGCGGAAUUUCCGGUGUAGCGGUGAAAUGCGUAGAUAUCGGGAGGAACACCUGAGGCGAAGGCGGGCUACUGGGCCGAUACUGACGCUGAUGCGCGAAAGCCAGGGGAGCGAACGGG